AAUUUUGGACAAUGGGGGCAACCCUGAUCCAGCCAUCCCGCGUGUGCGAUGAAGGACUUCGGGUUGUAAAGCACUUCUGGCAGGGAAGAAAGGGCGCAGGCUAAUACCCUGUGCUGCUGACGGUACCUGCAGAAUAAGCACCGGCUAACUACGUGCCAUCAGCCGCGGUAAUACGUAGGGUGCAAGCGUUAAUCGGAAUUACUGGGCGUAAAGCGUGCGUCGGCGGUUUGGCAAGAAAGGUGUGAAAUCCCAGAGCUUAACUUUGGAACUGCAUUUUUAACUGCCGAGCUAGAGUAUGUCAGAGGGGGGUAGAAUUCCACGUGUAGCAGUGAAAUGCGUAGAUAUGUGGAGGAAUACCGAUGGCGAAGGCAGCCCCCUGGGAUAAUACUGACGCUCAGACACGAAAGCGUGGGGAGCAAACAGG
Molecule: ribosomal RNA, 424 nt
Filed under: uncultured bacterium
Lineage: Bacteria
Description: partial 16S ribosomal RNA
Rfam family: Bacterial small subunit ribosomal RNA
Source: RNAcentral